UGAGGAUCAAACACACAUCCCCUGCAUUGGAAGGUGGGUUCUUAACCAUUGGACGACUAGGAAAGUCCUUCUAUUGCUGUUUUGCAACAUCCUGCCACUUGCAGGAUCUUGGUUCCUGGACCAGUGACUGAACUCCGGUCCCAGCAGUGGAAGCACAGAGUCCUAACCACUGGACCACCAGAGGAUUCCUGGGGAUCCAUUUUUCUUCACCACCUCCUGCAAAACCCACCCCUCCCUCUGCUAUGGAUGCCAUCACCUCUCUGCCCGCACCCAGGGGUCUCCCCUCCAGCUCCGGAGCGCCUUCUCCUCCCUCUGCCUGCUUUGCCGCUGACAGCUAGAAGAUUCCAAGCCAACCAUUUUGUAGAAGGUCCCUCGUCUGGGUUUGUUUGAUGUUUCCCUUUGAUUAAAUUCAGGUUAUACAUUUUUGAGAGGAAAUCACAGUUUCAUUUCUUCACAUGAAAAUAUUGAAUCCAUUUGGAAUUAAUUUGGGUAUAAAUGAUAUAUUUUUCCUCACUUAUAUGAAACACCUCCUUUAUCAUAUAGCAAAUAUUUAAUUGCAUAUCUUUUAUCUUUCUGCUCUUCAAAGCCAGUGUCACACUGUUUUAAUUACCCUGGCUUCGUAAUAUGCACCCCCCAAACACGGUAAUGAGCAGAGUCCCCCUAAUCAUGCUUCUUUUCUCAGAAACUUCCUGGCUCUUCUCGCUCAUUAAAUCUUCCAGAUGCACCUUAGAAUCGUGUUAUCAAGUUCCUUAAAAAGUACCUUUGUGAUUUAGGUUGUCGAACUUUGAAAUCACUGUGGGCAAAACGGGCAGCUUUAAUACUAAACCUUCCAUAGAGGAGCAGUGUCUGUGUAUCAUCCACACUUUCUGUGACUCGGUAAAGCUUUGUACUCUUUUUCAUGAAGUUCCUGCCCUUUUCUCUGGGAGCUGGUGACUACUUUUGAGUCUCUUGUGAAC
Molecule: long non-coding RNA, 956 nt
Organism: Bos taurus (domestic cattle)
Lineage: Eukaryota; Metazoa; Chordata; Mammalia; Artiodactyla; Bovidae
Source: Ensembl